Molecule: ribosomal RNA, 849 nt
Filed under: Leptographium globosum
Lineage: Eukaryota; Fungi; Ascomycota; Sordariomycetes; Ophiostomatales; Ophiostomataceae
Description: eukaryotic LSU rRNA
Rfam family: Eukaryotic large subunit ribosomal RNA
Source: RNAcentral
AACAGGGAUUGCCCCAGUAACGGCGAGUGAAGCGGCAACAGCUCAGAUUUGGAAUCUGGCCCCCAGGGCCCGAGUUGUAAUCUGGAGAGGAUGCUUCUGGCGCGGCGCCUUCCGAGUUCCCUGGAACGGGACGCCGGAGAGGGUGAGAGCCCCGUACGGUCGGACGCCCAGCCUUUGUGAAGCUCCUUCGACGAGUCGAGUAGUUUGGGAAUGCUGCUCAAAAUGGGAGGUAAAUUUCUUCUAAAGCUAAAUACCGGCCAGAGACCGAUAGCGCACAAGUAGAGUGAUCGAAAGAUGAAAAGCACUUUGAAAAGAGGGUCAAACAGUACGUGAAAUUGUUGAAAGGGAAGCGCCCGUGGCCAGACUUGUGCCCCGCGGACCACCCGGCGCGCUCAGCGCCGGUGCACUCCGCGGGGCGCAGGCCAGCAUCGGUUUUCCCAGGGGGACAAAGGCGGCGGGAACGUGGCUCCCACGGGAGUGUUAUAGCCCGCCGCGCCAUGCCCCUGGGGGGACCGAGGACCGCGCUUCGGCAAGGAUGCUGGCGUAAUGGCCACCGGCGACCCGUCUUGAAACACGGACCAAGGAGUCAAGCAUUGGGGCGAGUGUCUGGGUGCCAAACCCGCACGCGAAAUGAAAGUGAACGCAGGUGAGAGCUUCGGCGCAUCAUCGACCGAUCCUGAUGUUCUCGGAUGGAUUUGAGUAAGAGCCUUACCGCUUGGACCCGAAAGAUGGUGAACUAUGCCUGUAUAGGGUGAAGCCAGAGGAAACUCUGGUGGAGGCUCGCAGCGGUUCUGACGUGCAAAUCGAUCGUCAAAUAUGGGCAUGGGGGCGAAAGACUAAUCGAACCAU